AGCAGCCGCGGUAAUUCCAGCUCCAAUAGCGUAUAUUAAAGUUGUUGCAGUUAAAAAGCUCGUAGUUGAAUUUCGGGAUCAAUAUGUUGGUCGUGCCUUGGUACGUACUGGCAUUAUCGAUUCCUACCUUCUGAAGAACCUCGAUGUCAUUAAUUUGGUGUCUUGGGGAAUCAGGACUGUUACUUUGAAAAAAUUAGAGUGUUUAAAGCAGGCUCGCGCUUGAAUACAUUAGCAUGGAAUAAUGAAAUAGGACGCUUGAUUCUAUUUUGUUGGUUUCUAGGAUCGACGUAAUGAUUAAUAGGGAUAGUUGGGGGCAUUAGUAUUCAAUUGUCAGAGGUGAAAUUCUUGGAUUUAUUGAAGACUAACUACUGCGAAAGCAUUUGCCAAGGAUGUUUUCAUUAAUCAAGAACGAAAGUUAGGGGAUCGAAGACGAUCAGAUACCGUCGUAGUCUUAACCAUAAACUAUGCCGACUAGGGAUCGGAUGAUGUUAAUUUUUAAUGUA
RNAcentral lists this ribosomal RNA (503 nucleotides) under uncultured Glomus. Its description in RNAcentral is "SSU rRNA". It matches the Rfam family "Eukaryotic small subunit ribosomal RNA", at positions 569 to 1078 of the family's 1831-position model. Lineage: Eukaryota; Fungi; Glomeromycota; Glomeromycetes; Glomerales; Glomeraceae. The record is from RNAcentral.